GCAUCCAUAGCUCAAUUGGAUAGAGCGUCGGUUUCCGGAACCGAAGGUUGGGGGUUCGAAUCCUCUUGGAUGCA
Molecule: transfer RNA, 74 nt
Filed under: Candidatus Dojkabacteria bacterium
Lineage: Bacteria
Description: tRNA-Arg
Rfam family: tRNA
About the family: Transfer RNA (tRNA) molecules are approximately 80 nucleotides in length. Their secondary structure includes four short double-helical elements and three loops (D, anti-codon, and T loops). Further hydrogen bonds mediate the characteristic L-shaped molecular structure. tRNAs have two regions of fundamental functional importance: the anti-codon, which is responsible for specific mRNA codon recognition, and the 3' end, to which the tRNAs corresponding amino acid is attached (by aminoacyl-tRNA synthetases). tRNAs cope with the degeneracy of the genetic code in two manners: having more than one tRNA (with a specific anti-codon) for a particular amino acid; and 'wobble' base-pairing, i.e. permitting non-standard base-pairing at the 3rd anti-codon position.
Source: RNAcentral